RNAcentral lists this ribosomal RNA (253 nucleotides) under uncultured bacterium. RNAcentral describes it as "partial 16S ribosomal RNA". It matches the Rfam family "Bacterial small subunit ribosomal RNA", at positions 524 to 776 of the family's 1533-position model. The record is from RNAcentral.
UACGGGGGGGGCAAGCGUUGUUCGGAAUUACUGGGCGUAAAGCGUGCGUAGACGGUUAUGUAAGUCGGGUGUGAAAGCCCCGGGCUCAACCUGGGAAUGCCAUUCGAGACUGCAUAGCUAGGGUGCGGAAGAGGGAAGCGGAAUUUCCGGUGUAGCGGUGAAAUGCGUAGAUAUCGGAAGGAACACCAGUGGCGAAAGCGGCUUCCUGGUCCAGCACCGACGUUCAGGCACGAAAGCGUGGGGAGCAAACAGG